RNAcentral lists this ribosomal RNA (505 nucleotides) under uncultured bacterium. Its description in RNAcentral is "partial 16S ribosomal RNA". It matches the Rfam family "Bacterial small subunit ribosomal RNA", at positions 28 to 507 of the family's 1533-position model. The record is from RNAcentral.
GACGAACGCUGGCGGCGUGCCUAAUACAUGCAAGUCGAACGCACAGUUUAUACCGUUGCUUGCUUCACCAUAGACUGUGAGUUGCGAACGGGUGAUUAACGCGUCGGUAACCUGCCUGGUAGCGGGUGAUAACUACUGGAAACGAUAGCUAAUACCGCAUAAUAUUAAUUAUUGCAUGAUAAUUAAUUGAAAGGUGCAAUUGCACCACUACCAGAUGGACCUGCGUUGUAUUAGCUAGUAGGUGAGGUAACGGCUCACCUAGGGGAAGAUACAUAGCCGAGCUGGGAGGGUGAGCGGGCACACAGGGAAUGAGACACGGCCCAAACUCCCACAGGGGGGCACAGGAGGGGAUCUUUGGCAAAGGGGGAAAAUCUGGCCGGGCAAAGCCGCGUGAGAGGAAAAAGGUUUUGGAGCGUAAAAAUCUGUUGUAAGAGGAGAAAGGGAGUGAGAGUGAAAAGUUCACACUGUGACGGUACCUUACCAGAAAGCGACGGCUAACUACGUG